Non-coding RNA from Myotis brandtii (Brandt's bat), 76 nucleotides. The record is from Rfam. NCBI's taxonomy places the organism in Eukaryota, Metazoa, Chordata, Mammalia, Chiroptera, Vespertilionidae.
GGCAGUUCUUGGGUGACGCACCCUGGAAUCGGGCUCCCUCCUCUCUGGUUCCAGGGUGCAUCAUCUGAGAACCACC